Molecule: ribosomal RNA, 253 nt
Filed under: uncultured bacterium
Lineage: Bacteria
Description: partial 16S ribosomal RNA
Rfam family: Bacterial small subunit ribosomal RNA
Source: RNAcentral
UACGGGGGGGGCAAGCGUUGUUCGGAAUUACUGGGCGUAAAGGGCUCGUAGGCGGCCAACUAAGUCAGACGUGAAAUCCCUCGGCUUAACCGAGGAACUGCCUGCCAGACUGGAUGGCUUGAGACCGGGAGAGGUGAGUGGAAUUCCAGGUGUAGCGGUGAAAUGCGUAGAUAUCUGGAGGAACACCGGUGGCGAAGGCGGCAUCCUGGACCGAGAUUGACGCUGAGGCGCGAAAGCCAGGGGAGCAAACGGG